RNAcentral lists this ribosomal RNA (492 nucleotides) under uncultured bacterium. RNAcentral's name for it is "partial 16S ribosomal RNA". It matches the Rfam family "Bacterial small subunit ribosomal RNA", at positions 29 to 507 of the family's 1533-position model. The record is from RNAcentral.
AGUGAGCGCUGGCGGUAGGCCUAACACAUGCAAGUCGAACGGCAGCACAGUAAGGGCUUGCUCUUACGGGUGGCGAGUGGCGGACGGGUGAGGAAUACAUCGGAAUCUACUUUUUCGUGGGGGAUAACGUAGGGAAACUUACGCUAAUACCGCAUACGACCUACGGGUGAAAGCAGGGGAUCUUCGGACCUUGCGCGAUUGAAUGAGCCGAUGUCGGAUUAGCUAGUUGGCGGGGUAAAGGCCCACCAAGGCGACGAUCCGUAGCUGGUCUGAGAGGAUGAUCAGCCACACUGGAACUGAGACACGGUCCAGACUCCUACGGGAGGCAGCAGUGGGGAAUAUUGGACAAUGGGCGCAAGCCUGAUCCAGCCAUACCGCGUGGGUGAAGAAGGCCUUCGGGUUGUAAAGCCCUUUUGUUGGGAAAGAAAAGCAGCAGGUUAAUACCCCGCUGUUCUGACGGUACCCAAAGAAUAAGCACCGGCUAACUUCGCG